GAUGAACGCUAGCUACAGGCUUAACACAUGCAAGUCGAGGGGAAACGACAUCGAAAGCUUGCUUUUGAUGGGCGUCGACCGGCGCACGGGUGGGUAACGCGUAUCCAACCUGCCCAUCACUUGGGAAUAACCUUGCGAAAGUAAGACUAAUACCCAAUGACAUCCCACGAAGACAUCUGAAUGGGAUUACAGAUUUAUCUGUGAUGGAUGGGGAUGCGUCUGAUUAGCUUGUUGGCGGGGUAACGGCCCACCAAGGCAACGAUCAGUAGGGGUUCUGAGAGGAAGGUCCCCCACAUUGGAACUGAGACACGGUCCAAACUCAUACGGGAGGCAGCAGUGAGGAAUAUUGGUCAAUGGGCGAGAGCCUGAACCAGCCAAGUAGCGUGCAGGAUGACGGCCCUAUGGGUGGUAAACUGCUUUUAGAAGGGAAUAAAGUGGGUCUAGUGAGACUUUUUGCAUGUACCUUAUGAAUAAGGACCGGCUAAUUCCGUG
This 492-nucleotide ribosomal RNA is filed under the name uncultured bacterium. Its description in RNAcentral is "partial 16S ribosomal RNA". It matches the Rfam family "Bacterial small subunit ribosomal RNA", at positions 28 to 507 of the family's 1533-position model. The record is from RNAcentral.